GACGAACGCUGGCGGCGUGCUUAACACAUGCAAGUCGAGCGGUAAGGCCCUUUCGGGGGUACACGAGCGGCGAACGGGUGAGUAACACGUGGGUGACCUGCCCUCAGCUCUGGGAUAAGCCUGGGAAACUGGGUCUAAUACUGGAUAUGACUCCACGGUGCAUGUCGUGGGGUGGAAAGCCUUGUGCGGCUGAGGAUGGGCCCGCGGCCUAUCAGCUUGUUGGUGGGGUGANGGCCUACCAAGGCGACGACGGGUAGCCGGCCUGAGAGGGCGACCGGCCACACUGGGACUGAGACACGGCCCAGACCCCUACGGGAGGCAGCAGUGGGGAAUCUUGCGCAAUGGGCGAAAGCCUGACGCAGCGACGCCGCGUGA
RNAcentral lists this ribosomal RNA (375 nucleotides) under uncultured bacterium. RNAcentral's name for it is "bacterial SSU rRNA". It matches the Rfam family "Bacterial small subunit ribosomal RNA", at positions 28 to 404 of the family's 1533-position model. The record is from RNAcentral.